RNAcentral lists this ribosomal RNA (522 nucleotides) under Thiania cf. suboppressa JXZ-2013. RNAcentral describes it as "partial 16S ribosomal RNA". The stretch from base 135 to 428 matches the Rfam family "Bacterial large subunit ribosomal RNA", at positions 2074 to 2646 of the family's 2925-position model. Lineage: Eukaryota; Metazoa; Arthropoda; Arachnida; Araneae; Salticidae. The record is from RNAcentral.
AGCCGCAAUUGUGCUAAGGUAGCAUAAUCAUUUGUCCUUUAAAUAAGGACUAGAACAAAAGAUUUAACAAUUUUAAUACUUUAUUAUAUCUAGAUAUCCAAAAUAUUCCAAACGUAAAAAAACAUUUAUUCAAAAGAAAGACGACAAGACCCUAUCGAACUUAACUUAAGUUAAACUGGGGUAGUAAAUCAAUUAUCAUUUUAAUUUUAAAAUCUAGAAAAAAAUCCAAAAACCUUAAUAAUCAAGUUACCGCAGGGAUAACAGCGCAAUUAUAUUCUAAAGUUCUCAUAAAAAAUAUAGAUUACGACCUCGAUGUUGAAUUAAUAACCUAAUUAAAGCAAAAAAUAAAAAAGGAAGUCUGUUCGACUUUUAAAAAAUUACAUGAUUUGAGUUCAGACCGGUGUAAGCCAGGUCGGCUUCUAUCUUCUCAAAAACUUUUACAGUACGAAAGGACCUAAUAGAAUAAUUUAAUUUAUUAAUUGGCAGAAAAAUGCAUUAGAAUUAGAAUCUAACAAAACUAAC